CCUACGGGUGGCAGCAGUGGGGGAUAUUGCACAAUGGGGGAAACCCUGAUGCAGCGACGCCGCGUGGGCGAAGAAGUAUUUCGGUAUGUAAAGCCCUAUCAGCAGGGAAGAAGAAAUGACGGUACCUGAGUAAGAAGCACCGGCUAAAUACGUGCCAGUAGCCGCGGUAAUACGUAUGGGGCAGCGUUAUCCGGAUUUACUGGGUGUAAAGGGAGCGUAGACGGUGCGCCAAGUCUGGAGUGAAAUGCCGCAGCUUAACUGCGGAACUGCUUUGGAAACUGGCGAACUAGAGUGCGGGAGGGGUAAGCGGAAUUCGUGGUGUAGCGGGGAAAUGCGUAGAUAUUAGGAGGAACACCGGUGGCGAAGGCGGCUUACUGGACCGUAACUGACGUUGAGGCUCGAAAGCGUGGGGAGCAAACAGGAUUAGAUACCCCUGUAGUC
RNAcentral lists this ribosomal RNA (441 nucleotides) under uncultured bacterium. RNAcentral's name for it is "partial 16S ribosomal RNA". It matches the Rfam family "Bacterial small subunit ribosomal RNA", at positions 338 to 795 of the family's 1533-position model. The record is from RNAcentral.